Molecule: transfer RNA, 72 nt
Filed under: Candidatus Aenigmatarchaeota archaeon
Lineage: Archaea; Nanobdellati; Candidatus Aenigmatarchaeota
Description: tRNA-Asn
Rfam family: tRNA
About the family: Transfer RNA (tRNA) molecules are approximately 80 nucleotides in length. Their secondary structure includes four short double-helical elements and three loops (D, anti-codon, and T loops). Further hydrogen bonds mediate the characteristic L-shaped molecular structure. tRNAs have two regions of fundamental functional importance: the anti-codon, which is responsible for specific mRNA codon recognition, and the 3' end, to which the tRNAs corresponding amino acid is attached (by aminoacyl-tRNA synthetases). tRNAs cope with the degeneracy of the genetic code in two manners: having more than one tRNA (with a specific anti-codon) for a particular amino acid; and 'wobble' base-pairing, i.e. permitting non-standard base-pairing at the 3rd anti-codon position.
Source: RNAcentral
GCCUGGGUAGCUUAGUGGUGGAGCGGCCGGCUGUUAACCGGCAGGUCGACGGUUCGAAUCCGUCCCCAGGCG